This is a small nucleolar RNA of Ornithorhynchus anatinus (platypus), 138 nucleotides long. The record is from RefSeq and is a predicted model, not a curated record. NCBI's taxonomy places the organism in Eukaryota, Metazoa, Chordata, Mammalia, Monotremata, Ornithorhynchidae.
CCCCUCUCAGGGUCACACCUGGAGAUUUUCCAGUACUCCACCGGUCUCGGCUACGGGAGGGAGAGACAAGCAGAGGCCCACCCAUUCCAUUCCUAGCUUGGGCAAUGGCUAGUGAGUGGAAGACCAUCUGCUACAAGU